GAUGAAGAACGUAGCGAAAUGCGAUAAGUAAUGUGAAUUGCAGAAUUCAGUGAAUCAUCGAAUCUUUGAACGCACAUUGCGCCCAUUAGUAUUCUAGUGGGCAUGCCUGUUCGAGCGUCAUUAAUUCCACUUAAGCCCUGCUUAGUGUUGGGAAUCUACUCUAGUGGUGCUACCCUGGAGCUACCCCUGAAAGGGGGCUGGCCCGGUAGCUACCCUGUAGUUCCUCAAAGAUAGUGCGCGGAGUUGCGUUGUCCUCUGAGCUUAGUAACUAUACACCUAGCUUUUGAGUGUCCCGCGGCGCCUGCCGUUUAAACCCCAUCUUUUAAUGGUUGACCUCGGAUCAGGUAGGAAUACCCGCUGAACUUAAGCAUAUCAAUAAGCGGAGGA
This 387-nucleotide unclassified non-coding RNA is filed under the name soil metagenome. Its description in RNAcentral is "partial contains 5.8S ribosomal RNA, internal transcribed spacer 2, and large subunit ribosomal RNA". The stretch from base 1 to 120 matches the Rfam family "5.8S ribosomal RNA", at positions 35 to 154 of the family's 154-position model. The record is from RNAcentral.